Molecule: RNA transcript, 1381 nt
Organism: Elephantulus edwardii (Cape elephant shrew)
Lineage: Eukaryota; Metazoa; Chordata; Mammalia; Macroscelidea; Macroscelididae
Gene name: cellular nucleic acid-binding protein-like
Exons: 1
Source: RefSeq, a predicted model, not a curated record
AUGAGCAGCAAUGAGUGCUUCAAGUGUGGGCGGUCUGGCCACUGGGCCCGGGAAUGCCCUACUGGAGGAGGCCAUGGUCGUGGAAUGAGAAGCCAUGACAGAGGUGGUUUUACCUCGGAUAGAGAUUUCCAGUUUGUUUCCUCAUCUCUUCCAGACAUCUGUUACUGCUGUGGUGAGUCUGGUCAUCUUGCCAAGAAUUGUGAUCUUCAGGAGGAUGCCUGCUAUAACUGCGGUAGAGGUGGUCACAUUGCCAAGGACUGCAAGGAGCCCAAGAGAGAGCGAGAGCAGUGCUGUUACAACUGUGGCAAACCAGGCCAUCUGGCUCGUGAUUGUGACCAUGCUGAUGAGCAGAAGUGCUAUUCUUGUGGAUAAUUUGGACACAUUCAAAAAGACUGCACCAAAGUGAAGUGUUAUAGGUGUGGUGAAACUGGUCAUGUAGCCAUCAACUGCAGCAAGACAAGUGAAGUCAACUGUUACCGCUGUGGAGAGUCAGGGCACCUUGCACGGGAAUGCACAAUUGAGGCUACAGCUUAAUUAUUCUCCUUUGUCUCCCCUCCUUUUCUGAUUGAUGGUUGUAUUCUUUUCUCUGAAUACUCUUCACUGGCCAAAGGUUGGCAGAUAGAGGCUACUCCCAGGCCAGUGAGCUUUACUUGCCAUGUAAAAGGAGGAAAGGGGUGGGAAAAAAACCGACUUCCUGCAUUUAACUACAAAAAAAAGUUUAUGUCUAGUUUGGUAGAGGUGUUAUGUAUAAUGCUUUGUUAAAGAACCCCCUUUCCAUGUCACUGGUGAAUAGAGAUUAAUAAAUGGGAAGAGUUGAGUCAGACCAGUACGCCCAUUCUGGGUUUCUUGAAAUGUUCCCAUGUAGGACAUAAAACAAUUUGGAAGUUUAUGAACUUCUGUAAGUAACUUUAAUUUUAGAAUAAUGGUGGCCUUGGAUUGUCUGACCUCAGUAACUAUUAAAUAACAUCAAGUAACAUCUGUAUCAGGCCCUACAUAGAACAUACAGUUGAGUGGGAGUAAACAAAGGCAAACAUGCACGCUAAUGACUGGAGAGAGAAACCAAAAUAAAAGCCUAAGCAGGAACACCUUCAUCACAGAGUUGAUGCUGGAUAUACACAUGGUGAUGGCAAAGGUUUAGAACAUUUUUUUUCAAAGACUAAAACCCAGAGUAAAUAACGAUGCUCAGAGUUAUCAUAAUUUGGAGCUAUUCAGGAAUUGCAGAGAAAUGCAUUUUCACAGAAAACAAGAUGUUAUUUUUUUAUACUAUAUCACUUAAGACAACUGUGUUUCAUUUGCUGUAAUCAGUUUUUAAAAGUCAGAUGGAAAAAGCAACUGAAGUCCUAGAAAAUAGAAAUGUAAUUUUAAACUAUCCAAUAAAGCU